This 460-nucleotide ribosomal RNA is filed under the name uncultured bacterium. RNAcentral describes it as "partial 16S ribosomal RNA". It matches the Rfam family "Bacterial small subunit ribosomal RNA", at positions 338 to 795 of the family's 1533-position model. The record is from RNAcentral.
CCUACGGGUGGCAGCAGUGAGGAAUAUUGGUCAAUGGACGAGAGUCUGAACCAGCCAAGUAGCGUGAAGGAUGACUGCCCUAUGGGUUGUAAACUUCUUUUAUAAAGGAAUAAAACGAGGCACGUGUGCCUUUUUGCAUGUACUUUAUGAAUAAGGAUCGGCUAACUCCGUGCCAGCAGCCGCGGUAAUACGGAGGAUCCGAGCGUUAUCCGGAUUUAUUGGGUUUAAAGGGUGCGUAGGUGGGUUGUUAAGUCAGUUGUGAAAGUUUGCGGCUCAACCGGAGAAUUGCAAUGGAUACUGGCGGUCUUGAGUACAGUUGAGGUAGGCGGAAUUCGUGGUGUAGCGGUGAAAUGCUUAGAGAUCACGAAGAACCCCGAUUGCGAAGGCAGCUUACUAAACUGUGACUGACAUUGAUGCACGAAAGUGUGGGGAUCAAACAGGAUUAGAUACCCUAGUAGUC